Molecule: ribosomal RNA, 252 nt
Filed under: uncultured bacterium
Lineage: Bacteria
Description: partial 16S ribosomal RNA
Rfam family: Bacterial small subunit ribosomal RNA
Source: RNAcentral
UACGUAGGGGGCAAGCGUUGUCCGGAUUUAUUGGGCGUAAAGAGCGUGUAGGCGGCUUGGUAGGUCUCGCGUCAAAACCUGAGGCUCAACCUCAGUUCGCGUGGGAAACCACCUAGCUAGAGUCCGGAAGAGGAGAACGGAAUUCCCAGUGUAGCGGUGAAAUGCGCAGAUAUUGGGAAGAACACCAGUGGCGAAGGCGGCGACCUGGGUAGAUACUGACGCUGAGGUGCGAAAGCGUGGGGAGCAAACAGG